This is a non-coding RNA of Podarcis lilfordi (Lilford's wall lizard), 214 nucleotides long. Lineage: Eukaryota; Metazoa; Chordata; Lepidosauria; Squamata; Lacertidae. The record is from the annotation of a GenBank genome assembly.
CAUCGGAGCAGCCCCAAUGCCAUUCCUACUUGCGUGCAAGCAGGAGGGCUUGGGGAUCCCUCAGCUGGGAAGGGAGGCUUCCCGUUGCCUAACUGAGAGAUCCCUGCCCCCUCCUGCUUGCACACAAGCUCUGAUAGCGUGAAGCCUCCCUUUACAGCUGAAAAAUCCCUGCUCCUGCUUGCAUGCAAGUAGGAGUUGGGCGGCUGCUCUGAUA